UUUCCUAAUCGAUGUCAAUUCUUCGCUUAGUUGAUUAGACUGUAUGGUGCGUGACUGUUUGCAUUUGAGCAUUGCAUUCGGUUAGUCUGUAAUUUUGAAGACCGAAUUAGCCUUCGCUUUGUUGGGUGAUUCGUGUCGGAUUUGAACUAGAGUAGUGUGUACUUGUCUUUAAUCUGGGAUAGGAAGCAUAAUAAUUGAGUUAAUGACCAACCGC
RNAcentral lists this long non-coding RNA (214 nucleotides) under Vigna radiata. RNAcentral describes it as "long non-coding RNA (VRAD_LNC000582)". Lineage: Eukaryota; Viridiplantae; Streptophyta; Magnoliopsida; Fabales; Fabaceae. The record is from RNAcentral.